Molecule: ribosomal RNA, 301 nt
Filed under: uncultured bacterium
Lineage: Bacteria
Description: partial 16S ribosomal RNA
Rfam family: Bacterial small subunit ribosomal RNA
Source: RNAcentral
CAGCCGCCGCGGUAACACGGAGGGUGCAAGCGUUAUCCGGAUUUAUUGGGUUUAAAGGGUCCGUAGGCGGAUCUGUAAGUCAGUGGUGAAAUCUCACAGCUUAACUGUGAAACUGCCAUUGAUACUGCAGGUCUUGAGUAAAUUUGAAGUGGCUGGAAUAAGUAGUGUAGCGGUGAAAUGCAUAGAUAUUACUUAGAACACCAAUUGCGAAGGCAGGUCACUAAGAUUUAACUGACGCUGAUGGACGAAAGCGUGGGGAGCGAACAGGAUUAGAUACCCCUGUAGUCCCUGUCUCUUAUAC